Molecule: ribosomal RNA, 254 nt
Filed under: uncultured bacterium
Lineage: Bacteria
Description: partial 16S ribosomal RNA
Rfam family: Bacterial small subunit ribosomal RNA
Source: RNAcentral
UACGUAGGGUGCAAGCGUUGUCCGGAAUUAUUGGGCGUAAAGAGCUCGUAGGCGGUUUGGUAAGUUGGAUGUGAAAUCUCCAGGCUCAACUUGGAGGGGUCAUUCAAUACUGCCAUGACUAGAGUUCGGUAGGGGAGUGUGGAAUUCCUGGUGGAGCGGUGAAAUGCGCAGAUAUCAGGAGGAACACCCGUAGCGAAGGCGGCACUCUGGGCCGGAACUGACGCUGAGGAGCGAAAGCGUGGGGAGCGAACAGG